This 701-nucleotide ribosomal RNA is filed under the name Brevibacterium sp. RNAcentral's name for it is "bacterial SSU rRNA". It matches the Rfam family "Bacterial small subunit ribosomal RNA", at positions 797 to 1498 of the family's 1533-position model. The record is from RNAcentral. Lineage: Bacteria; Bacillati; Actinomycetota; Actinomycetes; Micrococcales; Brevibacteriaceae.
AACCGGUAGUUGGGCCUAGGUGUGGGGGACAUUCCACGUUCUCCGCGCCGUAGCUAACGCAUUAAGUGCCCCGCCUGGGGAGUACGGUCGCAAGGCUAAAACUCAAAGGAAUUGACGGGGGCCCGCACAAGCGGCGGAGCAUGCGGAUUAAUUCGAUGCAACGCGAAGAACCUUACCAAGGCUUGACAUACACUGGACCGUUCUGGAAACAGUUCUUCUCUUUGGAGCUGGUGUACAGGUGGUGCAUGGUUGUCGUCAGCUCGUGUCGUGAGAUGUUGGGUUAAGUCCCGCAACGAGCGCAACCCUCGUUCUAUGUUGCCAGCACGUGAUGGUGGGAACUCAUAGGAGACUGCCGGGGUCAACUCGGAGGAAGGUGGGGAUGACGUCAAAUCAUCAUGCCCUUUAUGUCUUGGGCUUCACGCAUGCUACAAUGGCUGGUACAGAGAGAGGCGAACCCGUGAGGGUAAGCGAAUCCCUUAAAGCCAGUCUCAGUUCGGAUCGUAGUCUGCAAUUCGACUACGUGAAGUCGGAGUCGCUAGUAAUCGCAGAUCAGCAACGCUGCGGUGAAUACGUUCCCGGGCCUUGUACACACCGCCCGUCAAGUCACGAAAGUCGGUAACACCCGAAGCCGGUGUCCCAACCCCUUGUGGGAGGGGGCCGUCUAAGGUGGGACUGGUGAUUGGGACUAAGUCUACAAGGGG